AUAGCGUAUAUUAAUGCUGUUGCAGUUGAAACGCUCGUAGUUGGACUUCUGGGUGAGUCGCUUGGUCGGCUUCGGUUGUACCUUGCGGCUUGUCCUUUUGUCCAAGGAAGGCUCACGCAAGUGAGUCUGACUUGGGCCAGUUACUUUGAGAAAAUUAGGGUGUUCAAAGCAGGCCAGUGCCUUGAAUACGUUAGCAUGGAAUAACGGAAUAGGACUUUGGUUCUAUUUUGUUGGUGUCUAGGACCGAAGUAAUGAUUAAUAGGGACAGUUGGGGGCAUUCAUAUUUAAUUGUCAGAGGUGAAAUUCUUGGAUUUAUUAAAGAUGAACUACUG
Molecule: ribosomal RNA, 332 nt
Filed under: uncultured eukaryote
Lineage: Eukaryota
Description: bacterial SSU rRNA
Rfam family: Eukaryotic small subunit ribosomal RNA
Source: RNAcentral